UAGGGAAUCUUCGGCAAUGGGCGAAANCCUGACCGAGCAACGCCGCGUGAGUGAAGAAGGUUUUCGGAUCGUAAAACUCUGUUGUUAGAGAAGAACAAGGACGUUAGUAACUGAACGUCCCCUGACGGUAUCUAACCAGAAAGCCACGGCUAACUACGUGCCAGCAGCCGCGGUAAUACGUAGGUGGCAAGCGUUGUCCGGAUUUAUUGGGCGUAAAGCGAGCGCAGGCGGUUUCUUAAGUCUGAUGUGAAAGCCCCCGGCUCAACCGGGGAGGGUCAUUGGAAACUGGGAGACUUGAGUGCAGAAGAGGAGAGUGGAAUUCCAUGUGUAGCGGUGAAAUGCGUAGAUAUAUGGAGGAACACCAGUGGCGAAGGCGGCUUUCUGGUCUGUAACUGACGCUGAUGCUCGAAAGCGUGGGGAUCAAACAGGAUUAGAUACCCUGGUAGUCCACGCCGUAAACGAUGAGUGCUAAGUGUUAGAGGGUUUCCGCCCUUCAGUGCUGCAGCAAACGCAUUAAGCACUCCGCCUGGGGAGUACGACCGCAAGGUUG
This 550-nucleotide ribosomal RNA is filed under the name uncultured bacterium. RNAcentral's name for it is "bacterial SSU rRNA". It matches the Rfam family "Bacterial small subunit ribosomal RNA", at positions 355 to 896 of the family's 1533-position model. The record is from RNAcentral.